Long non-coding RNA from Gorilla gorilla gorilla (western lowland gorilla), 363 nucleotides. RefSeq lists it as uncharacterized. Lineage: Eukaryota; Metazoa; Chordata; Mammalia; Primates; Hominidae. The transcript has 2 exons. The record is from RefSeq and is a predicted model, not a curated record.
GGUAACGGCCCACCUCAGAACUGUCCUGAGUGCUGAAAUGGUGCCUGGUUGCAGCUGACAUUCCUGUUCCUUCACUUAAGUGCUCUGCCGGAGCACUAGAUGCUUUUCCUUGGAAUCCAGCUGCCAUGUUGUGAGAAAGCCCAGGCCACCGCAGAAACCACAUGUGGGUGUUCCAGCCAACAGCCCCAGCUAGGUUCCCAUUGGAGAGCCCACACCAACCACCAGAUAUGAGGGUUCAGACUCCAGCCUGCAGUCUUCAAGUCUUCCAGCUGCAGUCCCAGACAUCAUGAAACCAUUCUGCUGUGACCUGUCAGAAUUUCUGACCCCAGAAACUGUUGAUGAGAAUAAAUAAUUACUGUUGUU